This 394-nucleotide ribosomal RNA is filed under the name uncultured bacterium. RNAcentral's name for it is "bacterial SSU rRNA". It matches the Rfam family "Bacterial small subunit ribosomal RNA", at positions 30 to 410 of the family's 1533-position model. The record is from RNAcentral.
AGUGAACGCUGGCGGCAGGCCCAACACAUGCAAGUCGAGCGGCAGCGCGUCCGACCACCCUCGGGUGGUCGGAUGGCGGCGAGCGGCGGACGGGUGAGGAAUGCAUCGGAAUCUGCCUCGUUGUGGGGGAUAACGUAGGGAAACUUACGCUAAUACCGCAUACGACCUACGGGUGAAAGUGGGGGACCUUCGGGCCUCACGCGAUGAGAUGAGCCGAUGCCGGAUUAGCUAGUUGGCGGGGUAAAGGCCCACCAAGGCGACGAUCCGUAGCUGGUCUGAGAGGAUGAUCAGCCACACUGGAACUGAGACACGGUCCAGACUCCUACGGGGGGCAGCAGUGGGGAAUAUUGGACAAUGGGCGCAAGCCUGAUCCAGCCAUGCCGCGUGAGUGAAG